Molecule: long non-coding RNA, 254 nt
Organism: Priapulus caudatus
Lineage: Eukaryota; Metazoa; Priapulida; Priapulimorpha; Priapulimorphida; Priapulidae
Exons: 3
Source: RefSeq, a predicted model, not a curated record
CAGGAUAUCAGACCGGUUUCAUCAUAACAGCAGGGGAAGCGACCACCUUGUGUCCUGGUAUCAGGAGGUCGGACCGUUUACCCGGGUGUCAGGAUAUCAGACCAGUUUCAUCAUAACAGCAGGAGAGCCUAUAUAUAGCUAGGACGUGAAUUCUACAAGUGAGACGAGGCUGUCUUCGGAGCAAAACACGUGGUCGUAACUUGAACGCCAGACAGGGUAGACAUAUCUGACGUGUGUGACCAGUACGUGGCAGC